GGCGACGUAGGCAAGUGGCAAGCCGACUGUCUGCAAAACAGUUAUUCAGCGGUUCGAAUCCGCUCGUCGCCUCCA
Molecule: transfer RNA, 75 nt
Filed under: Candidatus Omnitrophota bacterium
Lineage: Bacteria; Pseudomonadati; Candidatus Omnitrophota
Description: tRNA-Cys
Rfam family: tRNA
About the family: Transfer RNA (tRNA) molecules are approximately 80 nucleotides in length. Their secondary structure includes four short double-helical elements and three loops (D, anti-codon, and T loops).
Source: RNAcentral